Chelonoidis abingdonii (Abingdon island giant tortoise) is the source of this 79-nucleotide non-coding RNA. Lineage: Eukaryota; Metazoa; Chordata; Testudines; Testudinidae. The record is from RefSeq and is a predicted model, not a curated record.
AGAAGGCAACAGAUUCGAUGGUGCUUCCAUUUGGCCUUCCAAAAUACUUAAGUUAAUUCCACUUAUUUCCAUGUCCUCA